Molecule: ribosomal RNA, 548 nt
Filed under: uncultured bacterium
Lineage: Bacteria
Description: partial 16S ribosomal RNA
Rfam family: Bacterial small subunit ribosomal RNA
Source: RNAcentral
UAGGGAAUCUUCCACAAUGGACGCAAGUCUGAUGGAGCAACGCCGCGUGAGUGAAGAAGGUUUUCGGACCGUAAAGCUCUGUUGUUGGUGAAGAAGGAUAGAGGUAGUAACUGGCCUUUAUUUGACGGUAAUCAACCAGAAAGUCACGGCUAACUACGUGCCAGCAGCCGCGGUAAUACGUAGGUGGCAAGCGUUGUCCGGAUUUAUUGGGCGUAAAGCGAGCGCAGGCGGAAGAAUAAGUCUGAUGUGAAAGCCCUCGGCUUAACCGAGGAAUUGCAUCGGAAACUGUUUUCUUGAGUGCAGAAGAGGAGAGUAGAACUCCAUGUGUAGCGGUGGAAUGCGUAGAUAUAUGGAAGAAUACCAGUGGCGAAGGCGGCUCUCUGGUCUGCAACUGACGCUGAGGCUCGAAAGCAUGGGUAGCGAACAGGAUUAGAUACCCUGGUAGUCCAUGCCGUAAACGAUGAGUGCUAAGUGUUGGGAGGCUUCCGCCUCUCAGUGCUGCAGCUAACGCAUUAAGCACUCCGCCUGGGGAGUACGACCGCAAAGGU